RNAcentral lists this transfer RNA (68 nucleotides) under Chloracris brunneri. RNAcentral describes it as "tRNA-Phe". The record is from RNAcentral. Lineage: Eukaryota; Metazoa; Arthropoda; Insecta; Orthoptera; Tettigoniidae.
AUCUAAGUAGCUUAUGUUUUUAGAGUGUAACAUUGAAGAUGUUAAGGAGGUGAUGUUACUCUUAGAUA